Molecule: long non-coding RNA, 293 nt
Organism: Oncorhynchus gorbuscha (pink salmon)
Lineage: Eukaryota; Metazoa; Chordata; Actinopteri; Salmoniformes; Salmonidae
Exons: 3
Source: RefSeq, a predicted model, not a curated record
UAAUGAUUUGGGUAGACAUUUCCUGUUUGUUAAAGACGUUCCUGUGGAGAGUUUGUCCAGGUGGUUAAUGCAGAGAACAGAAGAGGAUGUCCAGGUGGUUAAUACAGUGAACAGGAGAGGAUGUCCAGGUGGUUAAUACAGACUGAGUGAACAGGAGAGGAUGUCCAGGUGGUUAAUACAGUGAACAGGAGAGGAUGUCCAGGUGGUUAAUACAGUGAACAGGAGAGGAUGUCCAGGUGGUUAAUACAGUGAACAGGAGAGGAUGUCCAGGUGAUUAAUACAGUGAACAGGAG